GCCCCUAUAGUUCAAUGGAUAAGAACGACCCCGUCCUAAGGGGUAAAUCUAGGUUCGAAUCCUAGUGGGGGCA
Molecule: transfer RNA, 73 nt
Filed under: Candidatus Kerfeldbacteria bacterium
Lineage: Bacteria; Candidatus Kerfeldiibacteriota
Description: tRNA-Arg
Rfam family: tRNA
About the family: Transfer RNA (tRNA) molecules are approximately 80 nucleotides in length.
Source: RNAcentral